This is a long non-coding RNA of Leopardus geoffroyi (Geoffroy's cat), 1565 nucleotides long. RefSeq lists it as uncharacterized. The record is from RefSeq and is a predicted model, not a curated record. The transcript is spliced from 4 exons. Lineage: Eukaryota; Metazoa; Chordata; Mammalia; Carnivora; Felidae.
CUCAGACCCUUAAAUACAGGCCAAACGGGGCGGAGUCUCGGCCGGAGGGCGGAGCGGAUAGGGGCCGGGGCCCAGGGGAGGCGGGGCCUGGUGAGGGCGGGAAGUGACUAGGACACUGGCUCCCGCUGGUCUGAGAGUCCGCCUCACCGGUACAGGGAGCGGCGAAGGAGGCAGUACCUGCGGGGGCGAAACCAGGUCUCAGGACUGGACCCUUCCUUGAGGGGCGGGGUCUGCGGCCGAGCGGAAGAAUGGUGAAUCCAAACCGCGGUAGAAUCUGAUCGUCAGAUGGUCCUGGGCGAAGUGCCGCCGGUGCCGAGGUUGAGAAUACAUAAACUUAAAAAAAAUUAAAAGCGUCUUCUGGAGGAGCAGUUCCAGCAGGGCAAGCUUCUUGCAUGCAUCGCUUCAAGACCAGGCCAGUGUGGCGAAGCAGAUGGCUAUGUGCUGGAGGGCAAGGAGCUAGAGUUCUAUCUGAGGAAAAUCAAAGCCUGGAAAGUCAGGUGAUGAUAAAACAAUGUGAUCGGCUAUAAAAACUCUGUACCCGGGCUGUUCGCGGCUGCACUCUUACCAAGAGUGUUGGUCCCGAUCGGUCCGCCUUGCCUCUCAUUGUAAUAAACUUUGUUGUGACUGUCACUGGUGCCCGUAGCAUUCUGUUUCAGGAGUCGUGUGGAUGCAACAACCUGAGCUGAAAUCAAGAUUUGGACACUCAAGCUCAAUGGACUGAGCCAUCCAGGCUGUCACUCCUGUGAGUCUGUGAGUUGGCACCACCGACUGCCCUGGAUUAUCCAGGCUGGCCCAGCAUAUAACUGAUGAGUCCCUGAAGGCAGAGCACUUCCCUGGCUGGUGGCAGCUAGGCCAUUGGGGAGAUUAGAAACUGGCUGUGAAGAUGGGAGCCUUGUGCAAGGACUGAACAGCAGCUGCAGGGAGCCUGGAGCGGCCUCGGCUGACAGGAAGGAGGACCUCAGUCCUGCAAGUUCCCUGCGGGAACUGAGUCCAGCCAACAACCGGAAUGAGCUUGGAAGAGGACCACCCGCCCUGAGCGCCAGGUGAGAUUACAGCGGGUAGAGACUUUGACUCAGCCUCCUGUAAAGCACUGAGCAGAGAAGCCCACUGCGCCAUCCUGUGACACUUCUGACACGUGAGAGAAGAAAUGGACGCUGUUUUCAGGCACGAGGUAGAAAACAAACACGUGGGGCGCCUGGGUGGCUCACUGGGUUAAGCAUCGGACUUCAGCUCGGGUGCUGACAGCUCAGAGCCUGGAGCCUGCUUCGGAUUCUGUCUCCCUCUCUCUCUGCCCCUCCCCUACUCAUGCAUGCGCGCGCGCUCUCUCUCUCAAAAAUAAAUAAACAUAAAGGAAAAAAGAAAAUGAACCUGUCAGGUUUCUGGAUACAUUCACUGAAUUAAAAAUCAGUGGAGGGCAGGAGAGGCUGGCAGAGAAAAAGGCCUGUCAGAUUGUUGAGAGGAUCAGGAAAGUGUUAGAAAGUAUUUCUUUCCUUUUUUUUUAAGUUUAUUUAUUCUGAGAGAGAGAGAGCCCACGCGAGCAGGGAAGGAGCAGAGAGAGAGAGAGG